UACGAAGGGGGCUAGCGUUGCUCGGAAUCACUGGGCGUAAAGCGCACGUAGGCGGGUCCUUAAGUCAGGGGGGAAAUCCCGGAGCUCAACUCCGGAACUGCCUUUGAUACUGGGGAUCUUGAGUCCGGCAGAGGUGAGUGGAACUCCGAGUGUAGAGGUGAAAUUCGUAGAUAUUCGGAAGAACACCAGUGGCGAAGGCGGCUCACUGGUCCGGUACUGACGCUGAGGUGCGAAAGCGUGGGGAGCAAACAGG
Molecule: ribosomal RNA, 253 nt
Filed under: uncultured bacterium
Lineage: Bacteria
Description: partial 16S ribosomal RNA
Rfam family: Bacterial small subunit ribosomal RNA
Source: RNAcentral